UCAAAUGAAAAAUGUUAAAUUUGAAUUUGAAGGUUUAUGUGGCAAUUUGACACUUUGUAAAAAAUUUAACUUCACUCAAAAUGCCAAAUAUCAUAUUAUUUUAUUAUAUUUUUAAAAAAAACAAAUGAGGCCCAUUUGAUGCAUAAAGUUUUAAAAGAGAGUGAAUGAUAAUGGAAUUCAUGACCAAAAAAAAUAUUAAAAAUAUAUUUAACAUCAAACUUUUUGAUAUAUUAUUUUUGACAUAUCUCUUUCAGUCCUCAAUUGAAGCAACUUUAACUUUUAAUUUUUAUUAUUUUAUAUUCAUGUGAUAAUUUUACAUAUUUCGGAGAUACUCUUUAGUCCAGAGGUUACAUUUGCAACUUUAUUAGCUUGCUUAUUGGUCUGACACAAAAUUGCUGCUCAAAUCUAAAGGGAUAUGGGUUGGUGGUUUUUUUUUUUUUUUUUUCUCGGUAACCAAGAGGAUCCCCAAUGGCAUGGAAAUAGACAAAUAAAAUGCAAUAGUGUUGGCUCCAUUGAAGAGAAGCAAACUACCGACACUCAAAAUGUUGUUGUAGUGACAAAUGGACCUUCAUAUGGAGGGCAGGAGAGGGCCCUGAAAAUAAUGAAGCAUACCACUCCCAUGAGGUUACAAAAGCUUAACUAAGGCAAAUUAGUUUAUUUUCUUCUUUUCUUAAGGAAUAUUUCAAUGGAUCUGAUCUUCUUUUCUAUGUAAUGUAAGAGAAAAAAAU
Molecule: long non-coding RNA, 728 nt
Filed under: Prunus persica (peach)
Lineage: Eukaryota; Viridiplantae; Streptophyta; Magnoliopsida; Rosales; Rosaceae
Description: long non-coding RNA (PPER_LNC003018)
Source: RNAcentral